Long non-coding RNA from Hemicordylus capensis (graceful crag lizard), 2508 nucleotides. RefSeq lists it as uncharacterized. NCBI's taxonomy places the organism in Eukaryota, Metazoa, Chordata, Lepidosauria, Squamata, Cordylidae. The record is from RefSeq and is a predicted model, not a curated record. The transcript has 8 exons.
CCUCCCUGAAGCCUGAACUUGAGUGCUGGCAGGCAGGCAGCAAGGAAUGAAGGAAGGAGGGAGGCAAGGUAGCCAGCGCUGGCUGUCCUUGCCCACCACAGCUCUGCCCCGCCUUUGACUCUUCAGGCUUAGUAAUGGAGAUGUUCGAUUGCUACUUAAUAAUGAUAACCUUCUCAGGGAAGGAGCAGCCCGUGCUUUUGCACAGUAUAACUGGGACCAGUUUAAUCCAGUCAGAAUAGAAGAAUAUGAUGAUCAGGUAUAUGGAAAACAAUUGAUGGACAUCAAACAAUUAUUGUAUGCAGAGAAAGCCAUCUGUUUCAAGCAAAAAAAACCCAACCCAACCUUUGAAUGAAGCCCAAAGCAAAAGAAUUUGUAAAGAUUGUAGAGGCCACAGAAACUGAAUUCCAGACUGCUGUCAGUGAAAACUAUCAAACUAUAUCGGACACUACUUUCAAGGCCUUACACAAACAAAUGCAGUAAAGAAAAUCAGAGUGCACUUGGGUCCUGUGCCAUGAAUGUCCAGCAGCCCAUGUAUGUGAACAGUGAUAAUACAAUAAGGAAAUAGCCCGAGGAUGAUGAGAUGGACCUGGGAGGGGAAAUCAACUGUGGCAGAAAGAAUGGAGUCAAACAGUGAGCCAGCCUCAUUAGUGAAAGAUGCAGAAAAUACCAGAAGAAAGUAGAGGAGAUCGAAGGAAAAUGAUCAAUGUAUGGAGAGUGACCAGGAGCAAAAAGAAAAAAAGCUUAGUUACCAAUGGACUCAACUUUAUAAAGCAUCCCUAGCAGCAGCAGAAACGGCACAUCCUUUCCUUUCCUACAGAUCCUACAGCAAAACUGGCAGAAGGCAAGCAAAGACUCCCAUUGACAAGAAAGAAGAAGAGUCAGGGAUCCAGAUGGGGAGACAUCCGUCACAUUCUUGGACAGACUCUGAAUGCCAAGCAUAGUCACAUUGAACAGAGUGAUACUUUUGAUCUUCAGAAUACAAGGCCAGCCCUGCUGAACCAUUUUUUUUGGGGGGGGGGGCACUCACCUCAACUAGAGAGGUACUACCAUGCUCCUUUAAUCUAAUGGCACAAUUUCUCACCUGCCAUGGUGGGUCUGGUCGUUAGCUGCUCUGAAUUCUAAUUUUGCUGUUCUCAGCCCUAAAGGAGAGCUGAGAUAUCUCUCUCCGGAAAGACAAACUCCCACUGAGAUACAGUUGAUUACAAAAGGGACUAGGUCCCACUCUGCUCACUGAUCUGGCAUCAGUUGAGAAAUAGACAACUGAAUAGCGAUGAGGCAAAAAAUCACCACAAAAUAAAAAGUGUAAACAUGUAUACUUCACAGUUCCACCAAUAGGUAGUCCCCAUUCUUAACCAGCAAACCAAACAUAAAAUAUGAAAAAACUCAUCUCCCUGCUGGCUGCCAAACUAUUGCUGGCUGCAGUGGUUUCACAAAAGGCUGGCGAAUGUACUCAUUCAGCACAUGUAUAUGUUUGUUUGUUUGUUGAAUACAUUUAUAUACCGUCCCAUACAAAACGUCCCUGGGAGGUUCACAAUAUAAAACAUUCCUUCACAAAUGAUGCAGCAAAUGUGCCAAGCAAGCCUAUACUGUACAAGUUUAUCUGCAAUGCAGGCAGGAGAAAUGCAGCCUACUUAUACACAUUACAGAGGGCACAUGGUAAGGACAGAUAUUAGCAUGAGGUUUUUCACAAAGGACUUUUAAAGCCCUUUAACUCGCAUCUUCUCUGGCCAGAUUUACCCCGAAGUCCCUGCAAGUUAUCGGGAGCAGUCAAUGCACAAUAUGGAUUUUUCACUGCACGUUAGAGUGUAGCCCAAUUUACAUCUGAGGUUAAAUAAACAAAAAUCCACUCUUUAUGUAGGGUUUUGGGGACAACAAGUUUGCAGUUGGUAAUGAAGCACCCUCCGUGUUAUGGGUGAUCAGAGGGAGGAGCUUGUGGAGUGGGAGAAAAGUAACACAAUGAAAAGAAAGAUAUCACCACUUCCUAUGCAAAAACACUGUUUUUACUGCAAUAACACUAAUCACAACAUCAAAAUUAGUGCUUAGUGGAAUGACUGUUCCUUUUAAUCCCCUCCCUUUGCUGCUGGAGCCUGAAGUGGGAGGGGACAAACCCCCAAACCAAUGAUCCAGCAGCGGGGAAAUCCCCCAAUACAGAGUGUUCCUCGUGUAGUGCAUUGUGGGAUUUCUGGAGGCCAGGCUGCAUUUCCCUGGCCUCCAGAUCUCCUGUGCCACUACCAGAGUGCUGCUCAUGUGGGCGCACAAGUGGUGCUGCCAAUAAGACAACGAAGAUCAUCUGGGGGAAAGUUAGAUGAGAUCCUGCCUUUCCCACCACCCUCCCUGGCAAUUAGAUAAUGUGAAUGAGCUUAAUAUAUGUAUGCAAAUAUGGCUAGUUUGAACAUGAAAAAGAAUUGAUGCAUGCAGCACCCCCAAUUUCUACUUUAGUUACUCUAAAGCAAUAAUUAAAAGUUGUAAAAUGUGCCAGGAUCAAAUACAUUCCAACAUUUCACAUCA